AUUGAACGCUGGCGGCAGGCUUAACACAUGCAAGUCGAGCGGUAACAGAGAGGAGCUUGCUUCUCUGCUGACGAGCGGCGGACGGGUGAGUAAUGCCUAGGAAUCUGCCUAGUAGUGGGGGAUAACUUGCCGAAAGGUAAGCUAAUACCGCAUACGUCCUACGGGAGAAAGGAGGGGACCUUCGGGCCUUUCGCUAUUAGAUGAGCCUAGGUCGGAUUAGUUAGUUGGUGAGGUAAUGGCUCACCAAGACCGCGAUCCGUAACUGGUCUGAGAGGAUGAUCAGUCACACUGGAACUGAGUCACGGUCCAGACUCCUACGGGAGGCAGCAGUGGGGAAUAUUGGACAAUGGGGGGAACCCUGAUCCAGCCAUGCCGCGUGUAUGAAGAAGGUCUUAGGAUUGUAAAGCACUUUAAGUUGGGAGGAAGAGCAGUUAACUAAUAUUUGACUGUUUUGACGUUACCGACAGAAUAAGCACCGGCUAACUUCGUGCCAGCAGCCGCCGUAA
RNAcentral lists this ribosomal RNA (506 nucleotides) under uncultured bacterium. Its description in RNAcentral is "partial 16S ribosomal RNA". It matches the Rfam family "Bacterial small subunit ribosomal RNA", at positions 30 to 523 of the family's 1533-position model. The record is from RNAcentral.